UGAAGUUCAGGCGCGCGUCCUCCUCCUGCGCCCCGUCCCCUCCGAGCAGGUCCAGUAGAGUGAACGGAAGUGGGUUCAAAUAUGGGCGGAGGGUGAGGGGCGAGGGAAAGACGGGGUCAAGAGGAAACGAAAGAUGCCUCCCUCCGUCGACCAAGGCGAAGUACCUGAAAAGCAAGAAAUACAACUGCCCAGACAGAGUGAAAGAGAAAACUAGUAAAGCGUACAAGAUAGAUUAAUAUCAUUGAUUAAGCUCCAGCAACCUCUUCUACCAAUUAAUCCUAGUCAUGAAUGAUAGAUACACUUAUGGAUACGAGAUUUCCUCAAUUCAACUAAGCCUUUUGUUUUGGAGAAAGAAAAACAUUUUAAAGCCACUGAGGGCAAUCACACAGAAUGAUACCCAUUUCCCAUAAGUGGCUUCAUGUAUGUUGGUCGUGAUUUAUGUGAUGGAUGAAGCAAAAGUAACUCUCCAUCUGCAAGACAGUCUAAAGGAAACUUGAUCCUCUGGACAUUCCCCCAAACAUCAUGCUGAUCCACCAUAUUGAUGACAUUAUUAAUUCAACCUGGAAAGCAGGAAGGGGCAAAUACUACAGAUGCCCUGGGCAAUAAUCAGAGAUUUGUCAUUUACCACAAACCUAAUGAAAUCAAGUUUUCUCUCGUGGAGUGUCACUGGAGUGGCCAUGGGCAUUUGGAGUCUUGCUAAAUAAAA
Molecule: long non-coding RNA, 706 nt
Organism: Zalophus californianus (California sea lion)
Lineage: Eukaryota; Metazoa; Chordata; Mammalia; Carnivora; Otariidae
Exons: 7
Source: RefSeq, a predicted model, not a curated record